UUGUACUUAAGUACAGUGAGUAAAUGUACUUGAAAUUAUUUAUUGUUCCACCAUACAGGAAUAUUCAUUUAUGGUGAAUUAACAGUGGCAGAUUAUCACAGUUAGCAAUAACACAAGAUGGUCACGUUCAUUUAUUUAAAAUGAACCAAGUGAAGUUAAAGGAACAAUCCAACAUUUUCAGUUACAGUAAGAAUACACACAAUACCGGUUUAAUCUCUGUGUGUCCAGGAUGUUUUAGCUUAGCACAAAGACUGGAGGCAGGGGGAAACUGCUAGCCUAGCUCCAUCAAAAGGGAAGGAGCAAGGUCACAGUUUCCCAAAAUAUGAAUUGUAUUAGCAGUUGAAGUGACAUGUAGACACUUAAAGCAUUUCAAAUGUCGUUUGAAGUUUAAACACUGUACGCAGUGUUUAUGGGUGAAAGCAGUUCAAGUGUGAGCGAAUGUAAGCGCUUGAAAUUUCAGCUCAAGUGUAUGCUUUGAAAAGCAGUUGAACUGUCAGUUGAAGAGUACGAGAUUAAAGCAGUUAAGGUGUCAGUUGAAGAGUAUGAGAUGAAAGCAGUUAAAGUGUCAGUUGAAGAGUAUGAGAUGAAAGCAGUUGAAGGGGCAGUUGAA
Long non-coding RNA from Siniperca chuatsi (mandarin fish), 610 nucleotides. RefSeq lists it as uncharacterized. The transcript has 2 exons. Lineage: Eukaryota; Metazoa; Chordata; Actinopteri; Centrarchiformes; Sinipercidae. The record is from RefSeq and is a predicted model, not a curated record.